UCGGGAAACUUUUGCAAUACACGAAAGUGUGACAAAGCAAGCCAGAGUGCCGUUCUUUUUUUGAACUGCUUUUGCGGGAUGUAAAAAGUCCCGCGAAUAAGGACUGGGCAAGACUGGUGCCAGCCGCCGCGGUAAUCCCAGCAGUCCAAGUCGCAGCCACAUUUGUUGGGUCUAAAAUAUCCGUAGCUUGCCUUGUAAGUCUUUGGUGAAAUCGGGCCUCUUAAGGGUCCGGCGUGCCAAAGAUACUGCAGGGCUUAGAGACCGGGAGGCGCAAGAAGUACAAUAAGGGUAGCGGUAAAAUGUGUUGAUCCUUAUUGGACUAACAAUCGCGAAGGCAUCUUGCGAGAACGGUUCUGACAGUGAGGGAUGAAGGCUAGGGGCGCAAAGUGG
RNAcentral lists this ribosomal RNA (390 nucleotides) under uncultured euryarchaeote. Its description in RNAcentral is "bacterial SSU rRNA". It matches the Rfam family "Archaeal small subunit ribosomal RNA", at positions 339 to 727 of the family's 1478-position model. The record is from RNAcentral. Lineage: Archaea; Methanobacteriati; Methanobacteriota.